This 571-nucleotide ribosomal RNA is filed under the name uncultured bacterium. RNAcentral describes it as "bacterial SSU rRNA". It matches the Rfam family "Bacterial small subunit ribosomal RNA", at positions 116 to 675 of the family's 1533-position model. The record is from RNAcentral.
CGUGGGAAAUCUGCCGAGUAGCGGGGGACAACGUUUGGAAACGAACGCUAGUACCGCAUAACAAUGAGAAUCGCAUGAUUCUGAUUUAAAAGAAGCAACUGCUUCACUACUUGAUGAUCCCGCGUUGUAUUAGCUAGUUGGUAGUGUAAAGGACUACCAAGGCGAUGAUACAUAGCCGGCCUGAGAGGGUGAACGGCCACACUGGGACUGAGACGCGGCCCAGACUCCUACGGGAGGCAGCAGUAGGGAAUCUUCGGCAAUGGGGACAACCCUGACCGAGCAACGCCGCGUGAGUGAAGAAGGUUUUCGGAUCGUAAAACUCUGUUGUUAGAGAAGAACGUUAAGUAGAGUGGAAAGUUACUUAAGUGACGGUAUCUAACCAGAAAGGGACGGCUAACUACGUGCCAGCAGCCGCGGUAAUACGUAGGUCCCGAGCGUUGUCCGGAUUUAUUGGGCGUAAAGCGAGCGCAGGUGGUUCCUUAAGUCUGAUGUAAAAGGCAGUGGCUCAACCAUUGUGUGCAUUGGAAACUGGGGAACUUGAGUGCAGGAGAGGGGAGUGGAAUUCCAUGUG